Molecule: RNA transcript, 1841 nt
Organism: Phragmites australis (common reed)
Lineage: Eukaryota; Viridiplantae; Streptophyta; Magnoliopsida; Poales; Poaceae
Gene name: mitogen-activated protein kinase 6
Exons: 8
Source: RefSeq, a predicted model, not a curated record
UACCUCGCCCUUCCCCGAAACACCGCCCCACGCGCGGCGCUGGCGCUGACGCUGACGCAGGGCCUCCUUCCUCGGCUCGCUCCCCCGUUCAUCCUCUCCCCAGCCGCCGCCCGAGUCAAAAAGGGAGAAGCUUCUCCCACCAGUGUCCCCAACCAACGACUAGUCGCUGGUCAAGCGGCAGCACCAACCCUAGCCUCCCCUUCCCCCUCCUCCCUCUUCGCGAGCUGCCAGGAAGAAGAAGAAGAAGCCAUGGAUUCCUCCGGCGGCGGCGGCGCGCAGAUCAAGGGGAUGGCGACGCACGGGGGGCGCUACGUGCUGUACAACGUGUACGGCAAUCUCUUCGAGGUCUCCUCCAAGUACGCCCCGCCCAUCCGCCCCAUCGGCCGCGGCGCCUACGGCAUUGUCUGCGCGGCUGUGAACUCGGAGACAGGGGAGGAGGUUGCGAUCAAGAAGAUUGGCAACGCGUUCGAUAACCACAUCGAUGCCAAGCGGACGCUGAGAGAAAUAAAGCUGCUUCGCCACAUGGACCACGAGAACAUCCUUGCAAUGAAGGAUGUAAUACGCCCCCCAAGUAGGGAGAACUUUAAUGAUGUGUACAUUGUUACUGAGUUAAUGGAUACAGAUCUCCAUCAGAUCAUACGCUCAAAUCAGUCAUUGACUGAUGAUCAUUGUCAGUACUUCCUGUAUCAGUUGCUACGAGGGUUAAAAUAUGUGCACUCAGCAAACAUAUUGCACCGCGAUCUAAAGCCAAGCAAUUUGUUCCUAAACGCAAAUUGUGACCUCAAGAUCGCAGACUUUGGGCUUGCAAGGACCACUUCGGAGACAGAUCUCAUGACAGAGUAUGUGGUCACUCGUUGGUACCGGGCACCAGAGUUGCUGUUGAACUGUUCACAGUAUACUGCUGCCAUUGAUGUCUGGUCAGUUGCAUGCAUACUUGGUGAAAUUGUUACUCGCCAACCCCUGUUUCCUGGAAGGGAUUACAUCCAACAAUUAAAAUUGAUCACUGAGCUCAUAGGGUCACCAGAUGAUGCAAGCCUGGGAUUUCUUCGAAGUGAUAACGCACGAAGAUACAUGAGACAGCUACCACAGUACCCAAGGCAGGACUUCCGCUUGCGCUUCCGCAACUUGUCUCCUGGUGCAGUCGAUUUGUUAGAGAGAAUGCUAGUGUUUGAUCCAAGCAGACGGAUCACUGUUGAUGAGGCUCUGCAUCACCCAUACUUGGCUUCUCUUCAUGAAAUCAAUGAAGAACCCACCUGCCCUGCACCUUUCAGCUUUGAUUUUGAGCAACCAUCCUUUACAGAAGCACAUAUAAAAGAACUCAUCUGGAGGGAAUCUUUAGCAUUUAAUCCGGAUCCGCCCUACUAAGCUUCAAGCUUGACUAAUUUAAAUUCAGGAAAUUGGUUGUUUUGGAAACCAAAUGUCUGGAUCACUAAGACCAUGUGCUUAUAACGUAUUAUAAUGAAAACUUAACUUAACAAUUUACCAGCUGAAGGCAUCUGAAGAUCUCUCUCCAGCGGAUGCAAAACUUGUGUCUUGUGCAUCAGUUACUUUCACGCUGUUUGUUGGGCAAACGGGCAUGGAUUGUUGCCCUAUCAUUUUCUCCUUAAGGCCUGUCGGAAGAAAAAAAAAACUUUUGUGUUCCUUUUCAGAUGACCUACACCCAGGCUUGUAUUAUACCGUAUUAUACCACUUGAUUUCACAAACUAUUCAUAUGUACCUAAGCUUGUAAUUUUGUAGACAAUUGAACAGCCCGUGUAUAUCCGAGUUGACAUCUCUCGACUGUAUUAUCUCAACAUGUUAUGUUGCGUGAUCUGACUAUUUAGAUUGAAGUUGCUGAUCCA